Molecule: non-coding RNA, 29 nt
Filed under: Mus musculus (house mouse)
Lineage: Eukaryota; Metazoa; Chordata; Mammalia; Rodentia; Muridae
Source: RNAcentral
UUCUAGGUGUGAUUGCUGAUCUGCAUUCC